CCGGCGCCAAGGAGGGCGCGGCCACAGGGAGGGGGAACGACCACAGCCACGACGGGACGGGGGAGAGCAAGAGCCCGGAGAGGACGAGACACGAACCAGGCCCACGGGGGCAGCAGGCGCGAAAACACAAGCGGGAAACCGGAAAGGGGACCGAGGCCAGCAAAAGGGCGCCAGAGCCAAAAAGCACGAGCAAGGGCCGGGCAAGACCGGGCCAGCCGCCGCGGAACACCGGCGGCCCGAGGGAACCGCAAGGGCAAAGGGCGAGCCGGCCAGGAAGCCCGGGAAACGGCAGCCAACGCAGGCGCAGGGGAACGGGCGGGACCGGGAGAGGGAGAGGACCGGGGGAGGGGGAAACGGACCCGAGGGACCACCAGGGCGAAGGCGCCACCAGAACGGGCCGACGGAAGGGACGAAAGCAGGGGCACGAACCGGAAGAACCCGGGAGCCAGCCGAAACGAGCCGCAGGGCAGCACGGGCGACCGGAGGGCCGAGGGAAGCCGGAAGCGAGCCACCGGGAAGACGGCCGCAAGGCG
This 533-nucleotide ribosomal RNA is filed under the name uncultured archaeon. Its description in RNAcentral is "partial 16S ribosomal RNA". The record is from RNAcentral.